GCGAGUCCGGACUUCUCCCGCCCAGAACUUGGUGACUCUCUCUGACUGAGCCGACUCGCUCUCUCUGUGCUCGUCUGAGUCGCAACUCGGUCGCCGAAAUGGAGGAGGAAAUGGACGAAACCGAAGCUCUACCUCAGGUGUACAUGGCAUGCAUUCGACAAGGUCAUCGAGUGGGAGUUUCUUAUUAUGAUUCCAGUAUUCGCCAACUUCACGUGAUGGAAGUUUGGGAAGAUGGCAGCAUGGACUUCCCCCUAAUUGAUAUGGUGAAAUAUCAAGCUAAGCCACUGAUCAUCUACACAAGCACAAAAAGCGAGGAAGCUUUCUUGUCUGCUUUACAACGAAGUGAUGGAACAACAGAGGCUUUUACUGUGAAGCUUGUGAAAAGUUCAGUAUUUAGCUAUGAGCAAGCAUGGCACAGAUUGAUAUACCUUCGAGUAACAGGAAUGGAUGAUGGGUUAGACAUCAAGGAGAGAAUUUGUUAUUUGAGUUCUAUGAUGGACAUGGGAAGUGAUGUUCAAGUUCGUACCAGUGGAGGCCUUCUUGCCAUAUUAGAGAAUGAAAGGAUUGUAGACACACUUGAACAAAUGGAAUGCGGCAAUGCAUCUAUUGCAAUUGAUUCUGUUAUAGAAGUUUCAUUGUAUCUUUUUAUGUGUCUUUCUCAUGAGGCGUUGCAGAUAUUCCAAACAGAUAAGCAUCCUAGCCAUAUGGGCAUUGGUAGAGCAAAAGAAGGGUUUUCUGUAUUUGGCAUGUUGAAUAAGUGUGUAACUCCUAUUGGGAGGCGCCUCUUGAGGAACUGGUUCCUAAGGCCAAUAAUUGACCUUGAAAUUUUGAACAGUCGUCUUGAUACCAUAUCAUUCUUUAUAUCUUCAGAAGAACUAAUUAUGUCUUUACGGUCAACUCUGAAAUCUGUUAAGGAUAUUCCUCACAUACUCAAGAAAUUCAACUCCCCAAGCUCCGUAUGUACCAGUACCGAUUGGACAGCUUUUUUAAAGAGUGUUUGCUCACUCUUGCACGUGAACAAGAUAUUUGAAGUGGGUGUUUCUGAGAGUCUUCAAGAGCAUGCCAAGUACCUGAAUUUGGACAUUUUUGAGAAGGCUGCUUCAUGCAUUACAACUGAGCUUGCUUAUGUAUAUGAAUUGGUAAUUGGUGUUCUUGACGUAAACAGAAGUAAAGAGAAGGGAUAUGAGACAAUUGUAAAAGAUGACUUCUGUACUGAGUUAGAUGAGCUGAGGCAAAUAUAUGAGGAAUUGCCCGAAUUUCUGGAAGAGGUUUCAAAGAUGGAACUUGGAAGACUUCCUCAGCUGUGCAAAGACAAGCUUGUUCCUUGUAUCGUGUAUAUACACCAGAUAGGAUACUUGAUGUGCAUUUUUGAAGAAAAACUUGAUGAAGCUACCCUGGAGACACUUCAAGAUUUUGAGUUUGCUUUCUCUGAUGCAGAAGGAGAAACAAAAAGAUUCUUUUAUCGUACUCCAAAGACACAAGAGUUGGAUAAUCUUCUGGGAGAUAUCUAUCAUAAAAUACUAGAUAUGGAGAGGGCGAUCACUCGAGAUCUGGUGUCACAUAUACUUCUAUUUUCAACGCAUCUGCUUAAAGCUGUAAAUUUUGCAGCUGAACUUGAUUGCUUUUUGUCAUUGGCGCUGGUUGCCCGUCAAAACAAUUAUGUAAGGCCUACUUUGACCACGGACUGCUUGCUUGAUAUACAAAAUGGAAGACAUGUUUUGCAGGAAAUGACGGUAGACACUUUUGUUCCCAAUGAUACAAAGAUUCAAAAUGAUGGGAGAAUUAAUAUCAUCACUGGUCCCAACUAUUCAGGGAAAAGCAUCUACAUAAAGCAGGUAGCUUUGAUUGUUUUCCUAGCCCAUAUAGGAAGUUUUGUUCCGGCAGAUGCUGCAACUGUGGGUUUGACUGAUAGAAUAUUCUGCGCAAUGGGAAGCAAGCUCAUGGCUGCAGAACAAUCAACGUUCAUGAUUGAUCUGCAUCAAGUAGGGAUGAUGCUAAGGCAGGCAACUUCACGGUCUUUGUGUCUCUUGGAUGAAUUUGGUAAAGGUACUCUUACAGAAGAUGGCGUUGGUCUGCUUGGUGGAACCAUAAACUACUUGGUGUCCUAUGAUGACCCCCCAAAGGUUCUAGUGUGCACACAUUUGACUGAGUUAUUCAGCGAGAGUUGCUUACCUAAAUCCAAGAAGAUCACAUUUUACACUAUGAGUGUGCUGAGGCCUGAUAACUCAACAGAUAUUGAGGAUAUUGUUUUCCUAUAUAGGUUAGUUCCUGGGCAUGCACUACGUGGUUAUGGUAAGUAUAUAUACUUACACACACCAAAAUAUUCAAAGUGUGGAUGUCCUCACUGCAUAGUUAAGCUGUUAAGGCACUGAACGUAGUCAUUUCAUUAGGCACUUACUAUGUGUAAACAGUUGGACAAAUAUCUAGCAUCCUAAAAAAUGAUCAAGUGCUGUCUAAAUAUGAAAUAGUAACCUGAUAAGUGUCUUAGUGCUCUUUUAUACAUGCACACACACAGACAUGUCACUGACACAUAUCUAUGUAAGUUGAGAGUGCCUAUUGGGUAUUGUUAUUUGGAAUCACAGUCUGUUUACAAUUUUACAUCCUGCAGGUCUUCAUUGUGCUCUACUUGCUGGUGUCCCAGAGGAAGUUAUCAAGAGAGCAGCAUUUGUAUUGGAAGCGAUUGGAAAUAAUCAGCAUGUCGAGCGAUUGUGCAAUGAGAAUUUAUCAGUUCAGGAUCAGCAAUACCAGACAGUAGUGGAAAAAAUGUUGGCAUUUGAUGUUCACAAUGGCGAUUUAGGCCUGUUCUUUCAGGACUUAUUUUCUCCUGCGUCCUAGAAAAGCACCAGAGGUAACUUUGCGAAUAUGACGUUGUGAACUCAGAAAGGUUGCCAGUUGGAUCUGGAUGGCAAUGCGCAAGGCAUUAUCUCCAUCAUCAGUUGAUGAUAACCAGACCUUCACUGAUCCAUUCAUUAGAGAUGUUGAUGAAUGUAUAGGUCACACAAUUCGUAUCGUAUAUUUCCUUUUAUGUAAAUAGUUCAAUUUAGAUUCUAAAUCAUGCACGGUACAUGAUUGUUGAUUUUCAAUUCUGGCUCUUAUUUUUGACAUAUUAAAAGAGAACGAUAAUACGGUUUCUAACUGCGUGCCCUUUGAUUUUGUAAUGGUACACAAAUCAUGUCGUUCUUCCUCUCUUUACUGCACACACUAAUUGCAUAUGAAUUUCACAAUGCAACCAAAAAUACUCUCCCAUUAAUCAAGGGGUUCCCGAGCCCGAGCUUUUAGAGAAAAGCUAACUCCUUCACCUUUCAUUGGGACUCUGUAUUUCGAGCCCUCAAAUAGUUCAUCCAUUAUGAUUUUGUGAGUUGCCUCUGUAGGAUGGACUCGAUCCCAGAAGACAUGACCCCCUCUGUUGGAGCAGUAAGACGAAAAGGGCAGACAAGCAGCCUGAGCGUUGAGAUAACCUGGACCACAACAUUCAGCUUGAAUCUCUUUAAAUCCUGAAAUGAAAUAGCAGAUUGAGUAGGAUUUUGUUUUCUCGUGAGAUAUUUGACAUGUUAUAUUGCCAAAUUGACUAAUGAUUUAGAUUGACAGUCUCAUAACAUGACAUGCUGGACUCCGACUAAAAGUAGACUUCCGCCUAGAAUAAAGCAAAUUAAGAAAAUAUGAAGAUACCAUAAGAAGCUGGGUUUUGAACGAUGUUACUGAACAUGCUUCAAGUGUCGAAGUAGUAGUUUAUGCCCGGUACUGGUUUUAAUGCCUCCAUCAUGAUUUAAGGGCUUUACUACACAAUUCAGACACCGAGUUCAUUUCUUCAUUGCACUCUCCUGUUAGAUCAUUUCUUCGUAAUGGACACAUCCAAUUGGUCCAGUCCCAAUGACUACGAAUUGGACAUGAGUAAAGCCUAUGAUCGGGUUGAAUGGAGAUUCAUUGAAGCUGUAAUGACUAGUAUG
Molecule: RNA transcript, 3947 nt
Organism: Rosa rugosa (rugosa rose)
Lineage: Eukaryota; Viridiplantae; Streptophyta; Magnoliopsida; Rosales; Rosaceae
Gene name: DNA mismatch repair protein MSH5
Exons: 34
Source: RefSeq, a predicted model, not a curated record